This 241-nucleotide ribosomal RNA is filed under the name uncultured bacterium. Its description in RNAcentral is "partial 16S ribosomal RNA". It matches the Rfam family "Bacterial small subunit ribosomal RNA", at positions 524 to 764 of the family's 1533-position model. The record is from RNAcentral.
UACGAAGGGGGCUAGCGUUGUUCGGAAUUACUGGGCGUAAAGCGUGCGCAGGCGGCUUCUCAAGUCAGGGGUGAAAGCCCAGAGCUCAACUCUGGAACUGCCUUUGAGACUGAGAGGCUUGAGUACGGGAGAGGUGAGUGGAAUUCCCAGUGUAGAGGUGAAAUUCGUAGAUAUUGGGAAGAACACCGGUGGCGAAGGCGGCUCACUGGCCCAUUACUGACGCUGAGGCACGGAAAAGCGA